This 1097-nucleotide long non-coding RNA is filed under the name Capra hircus (goat). RNAcentral describes it as "lncRNA (ENSCHIG00010003499.1)". Lineage: Eukaryota; Metazoa; Chordata; Mammalia; Artiodactyla; Bovidae. The record is from RNAcentral.
GACAUGGGAAGUUCUUCUUACUUUUUGCUACCUAAGUUUGCAUUUUCUGACUUCUUCAUACUGAGGCACUCUUUUCCCAUUGAGGAAGGAAAUCCCUACAAGUCUGAAAUUUUACUUGUGUUAAGUCAUGUGUGCUUAGGAAAGUAAACAGCUGGUUUGUAAAAAUUGUUUCUUACAUGAUGCGCGUUUUCCUCAAGCCUUAUGUGGGCAUGUGUCUUACACAGUGGUGCAGCUUUGAUAAGAUCAGUAUGAGAGUGCUGUCCCACAACCUGUCGCUUUCUAAGGGGCUGGUUAUUUUCCCAUGAUGGUACUUUUAAUUUGCUGGGGCAUCCUCUAAACAGACCCUUUCUAAAGUCCCAGUUUAAGGCCGUCCCCUCUGAACAGAGAAUGUGGAGUAGGCGGAAAGCAAUGUUAGUGAUGGAGCUUGAGGACAGGAGAAGCAGACAGGAGACCUGCCACGUUUAGUUUAUCCCAUCUUAACACUGAACACAUCUCCGUACUUUUGAAGUUAAUACUCAUUUUACCUAGUUUUAAAUAGAAAAAAAAUUUUUUUAGGUAGCCCACUUAAAUUUUUGGCAUAGCUAAUUUUCCCAUAUCCAGUGUGAUGUUAUAGUCAGACAGUGUAUUCAGAUACCAGUCUUGGAUUGAAAUCUGUCCUAGUGCCUCAUGUCACCUGACUUGUUCAUCUAAAUAUUAUGAAGACCCAUUGUUUGCAUUUGCAAGGUUUUGGUACCACCAUGGCAUAAAGUAUGGUAGUGAGGCAAUGCAUAGAUUGUGUGUAGUUUUAGGCUGUGUUUACAUGUGUGUAAAGAAUUUUGGAAAGAAGAAACUAGUACAGAUACAUGGGAAAGAUGCUGUCUUCAUAGCCAUAUCAAGUGGAAGAAACCCCUGGCUGGACACACUGUUAGAACAUUUCAAAAAUGUAUUUUCAACUAGAACAGCUUGGUUAUAUUUUGUGGUUUGAAGAUCCUCCCUCUCCCCUCAUUGCAUGGCAAGAACUCAUGCUGCCUCUGAGCAACGGGCAUUGAGGAACACUAUUGCCUAAUAGGAUGAAAGGGCCUCGUUCUCCCUUACCUCCUCAAGCCCGAAGGAAACUG